RNAcentral lists this small RNA (132 nucleotides) under Escherichia coli. RNAcentral describes it as "RtT sRNA". It matches the Rfam family "RtT RNA". From Rfam's summary of the family: This family represents a bacterial cis-regulatory element known as RtT RNA. The exact function of RtT is unknown although it is thought that it may be involved in changing the cellular response in relation to amino acid starvation. Lineage: Bacteria; Pseudomonadati; Pseudomonadota; Gammaproteobacteria; Enterobacterales; Enterobacteriaceae. The record is from RNAcentral.
AUUCUGCCCAAGCGGGGAAGGAUGAGAAGCUUCGACCAAGGUUCGACUUGAGCGCCAGCGAGAGAGCGUUGCCGCAGGCAACGACCCGAAGGGCGAAGCGCGCAGCGCUGAGUAAUCCUUCCCCCACCACUA